GCAUAUCAAUAAGCGGAGGAAAAGAAACCAAUAGGGAUUGCCUCAGUAACGGCGAGUGAAGCGGCAACAGCUCAAAUUUGAAAUCUGGCUCUUUCAGGGUCCGAGUUGUAAUUUGUAGAGGAUGUUUCGGGUGUGGCUCCGGUCUAAGUUCCUUGGAACAGGACGUCAUAGAGGGUGAGAAUCCCGUAUGUGACUGGUAGCCUAUGCUCAUGUGAAACUCCUUCGACGAGUCGAGUUGUUUGGGAAUGCAGCUCAAAAUGGGUGGUAAAUUUCAUCUAAAGCUAAAUAUUGGCCAGAGACCGAUAGCGCACAAGUAGAGUGAUCGAAAGAUGAAAAGCACUUUGGAAAGAGAGUUAAACAGUACGUGAAAUUGUUGAAAGGGAAGCGCUUGCAACCAGACUUGCAUGUAGCUGAUCAACCGGUGUUCUCACCGGUGCACUCAGUUACGUUCAGGCCAGCAUCGGUUUCGACGGUUGGAUAAAGGCCUUGGGAAUGUAGCUCCUCUCGGGGAGUGUUAUAGCCCAGGGUGCAAUGCAGCCUGUUGGGACCGAGGACCGCGCUUCGGCUAGGAUGCUGGCGUAAUGGUUGUAAGCGACCCGUCUUGAAACACGGACCAAGGAGUCUAACAUCUAUGCGAGUGUUUGGGUGUCAAACCCAUACGCGUAAUGAAAGUGAACGGAGGUGAGAACCCUUAAGGGUGCAUCAUCGACCGAUCCUGAUGUCUUCGGAUGGAUUUGAGUAAGAGCAUAGCUGUUGGGACCCGAAAGAUGGUGAACUAUGCCUGAAUAGGGUGAAGCCAGAGGAAACUCUGGUGGAGGCUCGCAGCGGUUCUGACGUGCAAAUCGAUCGUCAAAUUUGGGUAUAGGGGCGAAAGACUAAUCGAACCAUCUAGUAGCUGGGUUCCUGCCGAA
Molecule: ribosomal RNA, 911 nt
Filed under: Phacidium mollerianum
Lineage: Eukaryota; Fungi; Ascomycota; Leotiomycetes; Phacidiales; Phacidiaceae
Description: LSU rRNA
Rfam family: Eukaryotic large subunit ribosomal RNA
Source: RNAcentral